GCCCCUUGAUAGCCCCCACCCUGCUGCAUCUUCGACGGUUUAUCGUAGGGGGAUCCGCCACUGCCAUAGGGGGACCCGCCGCUGCCGUAGGGGUCACCGUACCCCUGCUGAGCCUUGGACGGCUUCUCCGAGUAUGGAUCGCCGUACCCGCCGCCCUGCUGCGCCUUAGACGGCUUCUCCGAGUAUGGAUCACCGUACCCGCCGCCUUGCUGCGCCUUAGACGGCUUCUCCGAGUAUGGAUCACCGUACCCGCCGCCUUGCUGCGCCUUAGACGGCUUAUCGGAUCCGGCGCUGUAGGGAUCGGCGUACCCGCCGUACGGGCCGGCGGCGGGAGGAGCGGAGGGCUGGUACCCGGUUUUGGACGGUUUCUCACCGCCAUACUGAGAGGACGCGGCAGCGUAGGGGUCGCCGUAACCUCCGUAGGGGGCGGAGGAGGGAGGAGCUGAGGGGUUGUAGUCGCCGCCUUUGUGAGGCUUGGAGGGCUUCUCACCCGCCGCUGGCGGGGCGCCGGCGCCGUAGGGGACGCCGUAUCCGGCAGGAGGAGCGCCGUAGCCUCCGCCACCGUAGGGUUGCGUCGGCGGCGGGCCGCCGUAGGGGUAGCCGGACAUGGUGGGAAAUCGAGAUCGGAGAGGCGGAUUUGGG
Molecule: unclassified non-coding RNA, 642 nt
Filed under: Hevea brasiliensis (rubber tree)
Lineage: Eukaryota; Viridiplantae; Streptophyta; Magnoliopsida; Malpighiales; Euphorbiaceae
Source: RNAcentral